This 323-nucleotide non-coding RNA is filed under the name Gottschalkia acidurici. RNAcentral's name for it is "Clostridium acidurici T-box sequence". It matches the Rfam family "T-box leader". Rfam says of the family: Uncharged tRNA acts as the effector for transcription antitermination of genes in the T-box leader family. T-boxes are found upstream of many aminoacyl-tRNA synthetase genes and some amino acid biosynthetic genes usually in Gram-positive bacteria. The record is from RNAcentral. Lineage: Bacteria; Bacillati; Bacillota; Tissierellia; Tissierellales; Gottschalkiaceae.
UUAAAAUCUAUGAAACAGAGAGAGUAAAUAUGGAUGUUUAGUCGAAGCGAGUCUAGGGUGGUGAAAGCUAGAUACUGUAGUCUAUAUUGAAUGGGUCUGUGAGAUGGUGUGUGAAUUAUAGUAGCAUUACCCGGAGGUCUACCGUUAACAAGACAGGGUAUCGAUAUGUAUCUGUACCUGAUAGAGAUAAGUUUGUACUUAGGUGGCAUAACGAAUGUAUAGCAUUUCGUCCUAAAAAAGGGUGAAGUGCUUUUUUUUAUAGAAAUAUGCUAUUUAAAUACAAAUAAAAUAUGGGUGGCACCACGAGUCACUUCGUCCCAUGA